This 1977-nucleotide long non-coding RNA is filed under the name Mytilus galloprovincialis (Mediterranean mussel). Lineage: Eukaryota; Metazoa; Mollusca; Bivalvia; Mytilida; Mytilidae. The record is from RNAcentral.
GUUCAGAAGUAACUUGUAGUUAUGUGUUUUAUACUGCUAAUGUACAAUCUGUUAUGUUCUGAAGUAACUUGUAGUUAUGUGUUUUAUACUGCUAAUGUACAAUCUGUUAUGUUCUGAAGUAACUUGCAGUUAUGUGUUUUAUACUGCUAAUGUACAAUCUGUUAUGUUCUGAAGUAACUUGCAGUUGUAUAUUUUAUACUGCUUGUGUACAAUUUGUUAUCUUCUGAGGUAACUUGUAGUUAUUUGUUUUAUACUGCUUGUGUACAAUCUGUUAUGUUUAGAAGUAACUUGUAGUUAUGUGUUUUAUUCUGCUAAUGUACAAUCUGUUAUUUUCUGAAGUUACUUGUACUUGUAUGUUUAUACUGCUUAUGUACAAUCUGUUAUGUUCUGAGGUAACUUGUAGCUGUAUAUUUUAUACUGCUUGUGUACAAUCUGUUAUGUUCUGAAGUAACUUGUAGUAAUGUGCUUGACACUGCUUAUGAACAAACUGUUAUGUUCUGAAGUAACUUGUAGUAAUGUGCUUGACACUGCUUAUGAACAAACUGUUAUGUUCUGAAGUAACUUGUAGUAAUGUGCUUGACACUGCUUAUGAACAACUGUAUGUUCUAAGUAACUGUUAUGUUCUGAAGUAACUUGCAGUUGUGUUUUAUACUGCAGGUGUACAAUCUGUUAUAUUCUAAAGUAACUUGUAGUUGUGUGUUUUAUACUGCUGGUGUACAAUAUGUUAUGUUCUGAAGUUAUUUGUUGUUGUGUGCUUUAUAUGUCUUAUGUACAAUUUGUUCUGUUCUGAAGUAACUUGUAAUUGUGUGUUUAAUACUGCUGGUGUACAAUUUGUUAUGUUCUGAAAUAAUUUGUUGUUGUGUGUUUUAUACUGCUUGUGUACAAUUUGUUCUGUUCUGAAGUAACUUGUUGUUGUGUGUUUUAUACUGCUUGUGUACAAUCUGUAAUGUUCUGAAGUAACUUGAAGUUGUGUGUUUUAUACUGCUGGUGUACAAUCUGUUAUGUUCUGAAGUAACUUGUAGUCAUGUGUUUUAUACUGCUGGUGUACAAUCUGUUCUGUUCUGAAGUAAUUUGUAGUUGUGUGUUCUAUACUGCUGGUGAACAAUCUGUUCUGUUCUGAAGAAACUUGCAGUUGUAUAUUUUAUACCUUUACAUACGUUUUUCUCUCAUUUAAACUGUUAAAUUAAAAACAGAUUUUGAUUUAAUAUUGAAUUCAGUAUAAUGAUAUAAAUAUCAGUUUCCAUUAUUAUAUUAUGUUCAGAAGUAACUUGUAGUUAUGUGUAUUAUACUGAUAAUGUACAAUCUGUUAUGUUCUGAAGUAACUUGCAGUUGUAUAUUUUAUACUGCUUAUGUACAAUUUGUUAUGUUCUGAAGAAACUUGUAUUAGUAUGUUUAAUACUGCUGGUGUACAAUUUGUUCUGUUCUGAGGUAACUUGUAGUUGUGUGUUUUAUACUGCUUAUGUACAAUUUGUUCUGUUCUGAAAUAACUUGUAGUUGUGUGUUUUAUACUGUUGGUGUACAAUUUGUUCUGUUCUGAAGUAACUUGUAGUUGUGUGUUUUAUAUUUCUUAUGUACAUUUUGUUAUGUUCUGAAGUAACUUGUAGUUGUGUGUUUUAUAUUUCUUAUGUACAAUUUGUUAUGUUCUGAAGUAACUUGUAGCUGUGUGUUUUAUACUGCUGGUGUACAAUUUGUUCUGUUCUGAAGUAAUUUGUAGUUGUGUGUUUUAUAUUUCUUAUGUACAAUUUGUUAUGUUCUGAAGUUUUGUAGUUGUGUGUUUUAUAUUUCUGAUGUACAAUUUGUUCUGUUCUGAAGUAAUUUGUAGUUGUGUGUUUUAUACUGCUGGUGUACAAUUUGUUCUGUUCUGAAGUAAUUUGUAGAACUUUGUUUGUUUUAUACUGCUUAUGUACAAUCUGUUAUGUUCUGAGUAAUUUGUAGUUGUGUGUUCUAUACUGCUGGUGUACAAUCUGUUCUGUUCUG